GUAGAGACAAUUUUUUGACAAAGUUUAUUAAGAAUCUAGAAUACACAUACCUUUCUUUUUUCACACAGAACAAACUACAGUGCGCCAGUGCCGACUGCUGAGCAUGAACAAAUUCUUCGGCACAUCAAAUUCGAUUCCUUUUGUGAGACGCCUGCAUCGACAAGAAGUCCUCUACUGCGCCUUUCAGCCAGUACGUAAAGUCAACGUAACAGUAGGUGAAGCUUCACCUUCCUGCUGCUGUCUCAGAGAUCUAUCGUGAGAGAGGAGGAAGAAGAAAAAGAGGAGCAUCAAAUCAGUCGGCGAGAUAUGCUAGGUGCAGAAUCCAUUGAAAUUAUUGGCCAAGCUAUGAUAGCCCCGGACUCUCUUUCCCUGGGCAAUGCAUGCAGACAACCUACGUAUAGAGAUUAGAGAAGCAUGUGUGUGACAAGUUCAGAGGUCAGCAGCAAGUAUAGCAACCAGCUAAUAUUUCUGCCAAUUAACAAAUGAAUGAGAUAGCUGAACGUACGUACGGGAUGGAGCAUAUGAUG
This 527-nucleotide long non-coding RNA is filed under the name Setaria italica (foxtail millet). RNAcentral's name for it is "long non-coding RNA (SITA_LNC000051)". The record is from RNAcentral. Lineage: Eukaryota; Viridiplantae; Streptophyta; Magnoliopsida; Poales; Poaceae.